UACGUAGGGUGCGAGCGUUAAUCGGAAUUACUGGGCGUAAAGCGUGCGCAGGCGGUUUUGCAAGCCGGAUGUGAAAUCCCCGGGCUCAACCUGGGAAUGGCAUUCGGGACUGCAAGGCUGGAGUGCGGCAGAGGAGACUGGAAUUCCUGGUGUAGCAGUGAAAUACGUAGAUAUCAGGAGGAAUACCGAUGGCGAAGGCAGGUCUCUGGGCUGACACUGACGCUCAGGCACGGAAGCGUGGGGAGCAAACAGG
RNAcentral lists this ribosomal RNA (253 nucleotides) under uncultured bacterium. RNAcentral describes it as "partial 16S ribosomal RNA". It matches the Rfam family "Bacterial small subunit ribosomal RNA", at positions 524 to 776 of the family's 1533-position model. The record is from RNAcentral.